AGUUCCAUAUGGAAUUGGAAGCCUCUCACAGUCGCAUGUCAAUGGGAAGAGAACGUACCUGGGAAGCUCUUCAACAUACCAAACUCUGCAAGAACACCUAGAAGAAGUUCACCGGAAAAUAGAAGAACAAGCAGCAGAGAAUACAAGGCGUGAGUCCGAGCUUACAAAAGUUUCUGAAGUGCAGCAAGCCAAGAUCGACAAACUAUCCCUUGUCGAGAAGUAUAUGGCUGAAACUGAUCCAGGAUUUUUGGACUUUGUGGCUGCAAAUAAAACCUCAGAUCUGCCAAAUGAUGGUCCGAUGACUGCUGCUCCACAAAAUGCUGCUCCGGCCUCUUCUUCUAAUCCAACCACUCAGCACUUUGCAGCAUAGGUCAACAACUUCUUCUUCUCUCUUAACUCUUUUGGAUUUUUUGGCUGCUAUUAGAGCUCUCAACUCUGUUCGUCUCCUUUUGAACUCAACUCCAUGGUUGUAUGUAUUA
This 479-nucleotide long non-coding RNA is filed under the name Eutrema salsugineum. RNAcentral describes it as "long non-coding RNA (ESAL_LNC002187)". Lineage: Eukaryota; Viridiplantae; Streptophyta; Magnoliopsida; Brassicales; Brassicaceae. The record is from RNAcentral.